RNAcentral lists this ribosomal RNA (632 nucleotides) under Pantoea sp. Ce01. Its description in RNAcentral is "bacterial SSU rRNA". It matches the Rfam family "Bacterial small subunit ribosomal RNA", at positions 898 to 1533 of the family's 1533-position model. The record is from RNAcentral. Lineage: Bacteria; Pseudomonadati; Pseudomonadota; Gammaproteobacteria; Enterobacterales; Erwiniaceae.
AACUCAAAAGGAAUUGACGGGGGCCCGCACAAGCGGUGGAGCAUGUGGUUUAAUUCGAUGCAACGCGAAGAACCUUACCUACUCUUGACAUCCACGGAAUUUGGCAGAGAUGCCUUAGUGCCUUCGGGAACCGUGAGACAGGUGCUGCAUGGCUGUCGUCAGCUCGUGUUGUGAAAUGUUGGGUUAAGUCCCGCAACGAGCGCAACCCUUAUCCUUUGUUGCCAGCGAUUCGGUCGGGAACUCAAAGGAGACUGCCGGUGAUAAACCGGAGGAAGGUGGGGAUGACGUCAAGUCAUCAUGGCCCUUACGAGUAGGGCUACACACGUGCUACAAUGGCGCAUACAAAGAGAAGCGACCUCGCGAGAGCAAGCGGACCUCACAAAGUGCGUCGUAGUCCGGAUCGGAGUCUGCAACUCGACUCCGUGAAGUCGGAAUCGCUAGUAAUCGUGGAUCAGAAUGCCACGGUGAAUACGUUCCCGGGCCUUGUACACACCGCCCGUCACACCAUGGGAGUGGGUUGCAAAAGAAGUAGGUAGCUUAACCUUCGGGAGGGCGCUUACCACUUUGUGAUUCAUGACUGGGGUGAAGUCGUAACAAGGUAACCGUAGGGGAACCUGCGGCUGGAUCMACCU